GCCUUAGUAGUAUAAUAAUUACACUGGUUUUGUAAGCCAAAAACGGAGUACCCACCCCUCCCUAAGACA
RNAcentral lists this transfer RNA (69 nucleotides) under Olallamys albicauda (white-tailed Olalla rat). RNAcentral describes it as "tRNA-Thr". It matches the Rfam family "tRNA". From Rfam's summary of the family: Transfer RNA (tRNA) molecules are approximately 80 nucleotides in length. Their secondary structure includes four short double-helical elements and three loops (D, anti-codon, and T loops). The record is from RNAcentral. Lineage: Eukaryota; Metazoa; Chordata; Mammalia; Rodentia; Echimyidae.